This 253-nucleotide ribosomal RNA is filed under the name uncultured bacterium. RNAcentral describes it as "partial 16S ribosomal RNA". It matches the Rfam family "Bacterial small subunit ribosomal RNA", at positions 524 to 776 of the family's 1533-position model. The record is from RNAcentral.
UACGUAGGGUGCGAGCGUUGUCCGGAAUUAUUGGGCGUAAAGAGCUCGUAGGCGGUUUGUCACGUCUGCUGUGAAAUCCCGAGGCUCAACCUCGGGCCUGCAGUGGGUACGGGCAGACUGGAGUGCGGUAGGGGAGAAUGGAAUUCCUGGUGUAGCGGUGAAAUGCGCAGAUAUCAGGAGGAACACCGAUGGCGAAGGCAGGUCUCUGGGCCACUACUGACGCUGAGAAGCGAAAGCAUGGGGAGCGAACAGG